RNAcentral lists this ribosomal RNA (366 nucleotides) under uncultured bacterium. RNAcentral describes it as "bacterial SSU rRNA". It matches the Rfam family "Bacterial small subunit ribosomal RNA", at positions 29 to 425 of the family's 1533-position model. The record is from RNAcentral.
AACGAACGCUGGCGGCAGGCCUAACACAUGCAAGUCGAACGCUCCGCAAGGGGGAGUGGCGCACGGGUGAGUAACACGUGGGAACCUACCUUCUGGUACGGAACAACCAAGGGAAACUUUGGCUAAGACCGUAUACGACCUCCGGGUGAAAGAUUGAUCGCCGGAAGAGGGGCCCGCGUCCGAUUAGGUAGUUGGUGAGGUAACGGCUCACCAAGCCUUCGAUCGGUAGCUGGUCUGAGAGGAUGACCAGCCACACUGGGACUGAGACACGGCCCAGACUCCUACGGGAGGCAGCAGUGGGGAAUAUUGGACAAUGGGCGCAAGCCUGAUCCAGCCAUGCCGCGUGAGUGAUGAAGGCCUCGGUUG